This 710-nucleotide ribosomal RNA is filed under the name Phaeobacter sp. Its description in RNAcentral is "bacterial SSU rRNA". It matches the Rfam family "Bacterial small subunit ribosomal RNA", at positions 30 to 791 of the family's 1533-position model. Lineage: Bacteria; Pseudomonadati; Pseudomonadota; Alphaproteobacteria; Rhodobacterales; Roseobacteraceae. The record is from RNAcentral.
GGGAAGUGCGGCGGCUUACACAUGCAGUCGAGCGCACUCUUCGGAGUGAGCGGCGGACGGGUUAGUAACGCGUGGGAACGUGCCCUUCUCUAAGGAAUAGCCACUGGAAACGGUGAGUAAUACCUUAUACGCCCUUCGGGGGAAAGAUUUAUCGGAGAAGGAUCGGCCCGCGUUAGAUUAGAUAGUUGGUGGGGUAAUGGCCUACCAAGUCUACGAUCUAUAGCUGGUUUUAGAGGAUGAUCAGCAACACUGGGACUGAGACACGGCCCAGACUCCUACGGGAGGCAGCAGUGGGGAAUCUUGGACAAUGGGCGCAAGCCUGAUCCAGCCAUGCCGCGUGAGUGAUGAAGGCCUUAGGGUCGUAAAGCUCUUUCGCCAGAGAUGAUAAUGACAGUAUCUGGUAAAGAAACCCCGGCUAACUCCGUGCCAGCAGCCGCGGUAAUACGGAGGGGGUUAGCGUUGUUCGGAAUUACUGGGCGUAAAGCGCACGUAGGCGGAUCAGAAAGUAUAGGGUGAAAUCCCAGGGCUCAACCCUGGAACUGCCUUGUAAACUCCUGGUCUUGAGUUCGAGAGAGGUGAGUGGAAUUCCGAGUGUAGAGGUGAAAUUCGUAGAUAUUCGGAGGAACACCAGUGGCGAAGGCGGCUCACUGGCUCGAUACUGACGCUGAGGUGCGAAAGUGUGGGGAGCAAACAGGAUUAGAUACCCUGGU